RNAcentral lists this ribosomal RNA (301 nucleotides) under uncultured bacterium. RNAcentral describes it as "partial 16S ribosomal RNA". It matches the Rfam family "Bacterial small subunit ribosomal RNA", at positions 509 to 809 of the family's 1533-position model. The record is from RNAcentral.
CAGCAGCCACGGUAAUACGAAGGGUGCAAGCGUUACUCGGAAUUACUGGGCGUAAAGCGUGCGUAGGUGGUGGUUUAAGUCCGUUGUGAAAGCCCUGGGCUCAACCUGGGAAUUGCAGUGGAUACUGGGUCACUAGAGUGUGGUAGAGGAUAGUGGAAUUUCCGGUGUAGCAGUGAAAUGCGUAGAGAUCGGAAGGAACAUCUGUGGCGAAGGCGACUAUCUGGGCCAACACUGACACUGAGGCACGAAAGCGUGGGGAGCAAACAGGAUUAGAUACCCCCGUAGUCCCUGUCUCUUAUAU